GGCGCAAUAGUGUAGUGGGUAACAUACUCGUCAUGUACGCGGGAGGCUGGGGUUCGAUUCCCGUUGCGCCU
This is a non-coding RNA of Cymbomonas tetramitiformis, 71 nucleotides long. NCBI's taxonomy places the organism in Eukaryota, Viridiplantae, Chlorophyta, Pyramimonadophyceae, Pyramimonadales, Pyramimonadaceae. The record is from the annotation of a GenBank genome assembly.